Molecule: ribosomal RNA, 854 nt
Filed under: uncultured bacterium
Lineage: Bacteria
Description: SSU rRNA
Rfam family: Bacterial small subunit ribosomal RNA
Source: RNAcentral
UACGGAGGGUGCAAGCGCUAUCCGGAAUCAUUGGCUUUAAAGGGUCCGCAGGCGGAUUUAUAAGUCAGUGGUGAAAGCCUACAGCUUAACUGUAGAACUGCCAUCGAUACUGUAAGUCUUGAAUUCGGUCGAAGUGGGCGGAAUGUGUAAUGUAGCGGUGAAAUGCAUAGAUAUUACACAGAACACCGAUAGCGAAGGCAGCUCACCUACGUCUGGAUUGACGCUCAGGGACGAAAGCGUGGGGAUCAAACAGGAUUAGAUACCCUGGUAGUCCACGCUGUAAACGAUGAUUACUCGUUUUCGGCGAUAUACAGUCGGAGACUAAGCGAAAGUGAUAAGUAAUCCACCUGGGGAGUACGAUCGCAAGGUUGAAACUCAAAGGAAUUGACGGGGGCCCGCACAAGCGGUGGAGCAUGUGGUUUAAUUCGAUGAUACGCGAGGAACCUCACCAGGGCUUGAAAGUUAGUGAAGAAUGUGGAAACAUGUUCGUCAGCAAUGACACGAAACUAGGUGCUGCAUGGCUGUCGUCAGCUCGUGCCGUGAGGUGUUGGGUUAAGUCCCGCAACGAGCGCAACCCCCAUCUUUAGUGCCAGCGGAUAAUGCCGGGGACUCUAAAGAAACUGCCUACGCAAGUAGUGAGGAAGGCGGGGAAGACGUCAAGUCAUCACGGCCCUUACGUCAUGGGCCACACACGUGCUACAAUGGUCGGUACAGAGGGCAGCUACACGGGUGUCCGGAUGCGAAUCUCUAAAGCCGAUCUCAGUUCGGAUCGGAGUGUGCAACUAGACUAUAUGAAGCUGGAAUCGCUAGUAAUCGCGCAUCAGCCAUGGCGCGGUGAAUACGUUCCCGGGCUU